GUCAGGAGAGAAUGAAUGGGCAGG
This 24-nucleotide non-coding RNA is filed under the name Cricetulus griseus (Chinese hamster). The record is from RNAcentral. Lineage: Eukaryota; Metazoa; Chordata; Mammalia; Rodentia; Cricetidae.